This 78-nucleotide non-coding RNA is filed under the name Bacillus sp. (in: firmicutes). RNAcentral's name for it is "Bacillus sp. Glycine sequence". It matches the Rfam family "Glycine riboswitch aptamer". From Rfam's summary of the family: This family represents the bacterial glycine riboswitch. RNAcentral also lists the same sequence under 1 other name. The record is from RNAcentral. Lineage: Bacteria; Bacillati; Bacillota; Bacilli; Caryophanales; Bacillaceae.
GGAGCAGCUUCUGGAGAGACUGUAUUUAUACAGCGCCGAAGGAUUCACAAUCUCAGGCAAAAGGACAGAAUGGUAACG